GUCGAACGGCAGCGAGGAGAAGCUUGCUUCUCUGUCGGCGAGUGGCGAACGGGUGAGUAUAGCAUCGGAACGUGCCAAGUAGUGGGGGAUAACCAAACGAAAGUUUGGCUAAUACCGCGUAAGCUCCAAGGAGGAAAGUAGGGGACCUAAAUAAGGCCUUACGCUAUUUGAUCGGCCGAUGUCGGAUUAGCUAGUUGGUGGGGUAAUGGCCCACCAAGGCAAUGAUCCGUAGCGGGUCUGAGAGGACGAUCCGCCACACUGGGACUGAGACACGGCCCAGACUCCUACGGGAGGCAGCAGUGGGGAAUUUUGGACAAUGGGGGAAACCCUGAUCCAGCCAUGCCGCGUGUAUGAAGAAGGCCUUAGGGUUGUAAAGUACUUUUGUUAGGGAAGAAAAGCUAGUUUUUAAUAAAAAUUAGUGGUGACGGUACCUAAAGAAUAAGCACCGGCUAACUACGUGCCAGCAGCCGCGGUAAUACGUAGGGUGCAAGCGUUAAUCGGAAUUAUUGGGCGUAAAGCGAGUGCAGACGGUUACUUAAGCCAGAUGUGAAAUCCCCAAGCUUAACUUGGGACGUGCAUUUGGAACUGGGUGACUAGAGUGUGUCAGAGGGAGGUAGAAUUCCACAUGUAGCGGUGGAAUGCGUAGAGAUGUGGAGGAAUACCGAUGGCGAAGGCAGCCUCCUGGGGUAACACUGACGUUGAGGCUCGAAAGCGUGGGGAGC
Molecule: ribosomal RNA, 722 nt
Filed under: uncultured Neisseriales bacterium
Lineage: Bacteria; Pseudomonadati; Pseudomonadota; Betaproteobacteria; Neisseriales
Description: bacterial SSU rRNA
Rfam family: Bacterial small subunit ribosomal RNA
Source: RNAcentral